RNAcentral lists this ribosomal RNA (373 nucleotides) under uncultured prokaryote. RNAcentral's name for it is "bacterial SSU rRNA". It matches the Rfam family "Bacterial small subunit ribosomal RNA", at positions 486 to 861 of the family's 1533-position model. The record is from RNAcentral.
ACUANGRUCGGCUAACUCCGUGCCAGCAGCCGCGGUAAUACGGAGGAUGCAAGCGUUAUCCGGAAUCAUUGGGUUUAAAGGGUCCGUAGGCGGGACAAUUAAGUCAGAGGUGAAAUCCCACAGCUCAACUGUGGAACUGCCAUUGAUACUGGUUGUCUUGAAUUAUUUUGAAGUGGAUAGAAUGUGUCGUGUAGCGGUGAAAUGCAUAGAUAUUACACAGAAUACCGAUUGCGAAGGCAGCUCACUACGUAUAUAUUGACGCUGAUGGACGAAAGCGUGGGGAGCGAACAGGAUUAGAUACCCUGGUAGUCCACGCCGUAAACGAUGAUAUACUCGNUGUUNGGCUUACUCUCGGCGACUCCAAGACAGUGAU